UACGAAGGGGGCGAGCGUUGUUCGGAAUCACUGGGCGUAAAGGGCGCGUAGGCGGCUCAUGAAGGCUGUGGUGAAAGUCCGGGGCUCAACCUCGGAUCGGCCGUGGCGACUCGUGGGCUGGAGCACUGUAGAGGCGGGUGGAAUUCCGGGUGUAGCGGUGGAAUGCGUAGAGAUCCGGAAGAACACCAGUGGCGAAGGCGGCCCGCUGGGCAGUGGCUGACGCUGAGGCGCGACAGCGUGGGGAGCAAACAGG
RNAcentral lists this ribosomal RNA (253 nucleotides) under uncultured bacterium. Its description in RNAcentral is "partial 16S ribosomal RNA". It matches the Rfam family "Bacterial small subunit ribosomal RNA", at positions 524 to 776 of the family's 1533-position model. The record is from RNAcentral.